AAGAGUGAUAAAGGAGCUGC
Molecule: non-coding RNA, 20 nt
Filed under: Rattus norvegicus (Norway rat)
Lineage: Eukaryota; Metazoa; Chordata; Mammalia; Rodentia; Muridae
Source: RNAcentral